CCCUUCGAUGUUCUGGGCUGCACGCGUGUUACAAUCGGGAGUACAACAAGAUUGCAAAUCCUAGUGGAUGAGUGGUUCUUCGAAAUUUUCUGAAGACUGGGAUAGUUGAUUGAAAUUAUUCAACUCAAACGAGGAAUUCCUUGUAAUUGUAAUUCAUUAUAUUGUAAUGAAUACGUCCCUGCCCUUUGUACACACCGCCCGUCGCUCCUACCGAUUGAACGAUCCGGUGAAUUAUUUGGAGUAGCUCUGGAAGUUGCAGAACUUCCUAUGUCACGAAAUUUUGUAAACCUUAUCGUUUAGAGGAAGGAAAAGUCGUAACA
Molecule: ribosomal RNA, 320 nt
Filed under: uncultured eukaryote
Lineage: Eukaryota
Description: partial 18S ribosomal RNA
Rfam family: Eukaryotic small subunit ribosomal RNA
Source: RNAcentral